GUGGGUAUAGCUCAGUGGUAGAGCACAUGCUUAGCAUGCAUGAUGUCCCUGGUUCAAUCCCCAGUACCUCUA
Molecule: transfer RNA, 72 nt
Organism: Camelus ferus (Wild Bactrian camel)
Lineage: Eukaryota; Metazoa; Chordata; Mammalia; Artiodactyla; Camelidae
Rfam family: tRNA
About the family: Transfer RNA (tRNA) molecules are approximately 80 nucleotides in length. Their secondary structure includes four short double-helical elements and three loops (D, anti-codon, and T loops).
Source: Rfam